GGGGAUGUAGCUCAGUUGGCAGAGCACCUGCUUUGCAAGCAGGGGGUCGUCGGUUCAAGUCCGAUCAUCUCCA
Molecule: transfer RNA, 73 nt
Filed under: Acidimicrobiia bacterium
Lineage: Bacteria; Bacillati; Actinomycetota; Acidimicrobiia
Also listed under: 2 other names
Description: tRNA-Ala
Rfam family: tRNA
About the family: Transfer RNA (tRNA) molecules are approximately 80 nucleotides in length. Their secondary structure includes four short double-helical elements and three loops (D, anti-codon, and T loops). Further hydrogen bonds mediate the characteristic L-shaped molecular structure. tRNAs have two regions of fundamental functional importance: the anti-codon, which is responsible for specific mRNA codon recognition, and the 3' end, to which the tRNAs corresponding amino acid is attached (by aminoacyl-tRNA synthetases). tRNAs cope with the degeneracy of the genetic code in two manners: having more than one tRNA (with a specific anti-codon) for a particular amino acid; and 'wobble' base-pairing, i.e. permitting non-standard base-pairing at the 3rd anti-codon position.
Source: RNAcentral